GGAUGGUUGGCCGAGUGGCCGAAGGCGCCUGCCUGUAGAGCAGGUCUCGUAGUGAGCAACGGUGGUUCGAAUCCAUCACCAUCCA
This 85-nucleotide transfer RNA is filed under the name Betaproteobacteria bacterium. It matches the Rfam family "tRNA". Rfam says of the family: Transfer RNA (tRNA) molecules are approximately 80 nucleotides in length. The record is from Rfam by way of RNAcentral. Lineage: Bacteria; Pseudomonadati; Pseudomonadota; Betaproteobacteria.